This 510-nucleotide ribosomal RNA is filed under the name uncultured bacterium. RNAcentral's name for it is "partial 16S ribosomal RNA". It matches the Rfam family "Bacterial small subunit ribosomal RNA", at positions 28 to 507 of the family's 1533-position model. The record is from RNAcentral.
GACGAACGCUGGCGGCGUGCUUAACACAUGCAAGUCGAACGAAGAGCGAUGGAAGCUUGCUUCUAUCACUCUUAGUGGCGAACGGGUGAGUAACGCGUAAUCAACCUGCCCUUCAGAGGGGGACAACAGUUGGAAACGACUGCUAAUACCGCAUACGAUCUAAUCUCGGCAUCGAGGAUAGAUGAAAGGUGGCCCCUACAUGUAAGCUAUCACUGAAGGAGGGGAUUGCGUCUGAUUAGCUAGUUGGAGGGGUAACGGCCCACCAAGGCGAUGAUCAGUAGCCGGUCUGAGAGGAUGAACGGCCACAUUGGGACUGAGACACGGCCCAGACUCCUACGGGAGGCAGCAGUGGGGAAUCUUCCGCAAUGGACGAAAGUCUGACGGAGCAACGCCGCGUGAGUGAUGACGGCCUUCGGGUUGUAAAGCUCUGUUAAUCGGGACGAAAGGCCUUCUUGCGAAUAGUGAGAAGGAUUGACGGUACCGGAAUAGAAAGCCACGGCUAACUACGUG